AAAGGGAGACCUGAUUCCGGUAGGAGACGAAAAAAAAGUAGUCCCAACCAAGAAUCAAUCCCAAAAGGUCGGAGCGAGGCGAAAUUGGCUUUCAAACUAGGUUCUGGGUUCACACAAGACCUGAAUCAGGAACAAGGGCUAUUAGCUCAGGUGGUUAGAGCGCACCCCUGAUAAGGGUGAGGUCCCUGGUUCGAGUCCAGGAUGGCCCACCUGCACAGGUGGCAAAGACAAAGAAAAAAAGCUCCGAAUCAGCACCUUAUCUUACUUAUACAGUAAGAGAGAAUGCUGGCUCUGAGUUCAGAGUCCAGAGGAACCUUGAAAACUGCAUAGAGCUAGAUGAAAAAGCCAAAAAAGAAGACCGCAAG
This 365-nucleotide transfer RNA is filed under the name uncultured Microcystis sp. Its description in RNAcentral is "partial 16S-23S ribosomal RNA intergenic spacer". The stretch from base 136 to 209 matches the Rfam family "tRNA". Lineage: Bacteria; Bacillati; Cyanobacteriota; Cyanophyceae; Chroococcales; Microcystaceae. The record is from RNAcentral.